GGAAGGAUCAUUACAGAGUUCAUGCCCUAUGGGUAGAUCUCCCACCCUUGUGUAUUUAUACCAUGUUGCUUUGGCGGGCCGUUGGGCUUCGGCCUGCUCACGGCUCCGGCUGUGGAGUGCCCGCCAGAGGACCCAAAACUCUUGUUAUCAGUGUCGUCUGAGUACUAUAAAAUAGUUAAAACUUUCAACAACGGAUCUCUUGGUUCUGGCAUCGAUGAAGAACGCAGCGAAAUGCGAUAAGUAAUGUGAAUUGCAGAAUUCAGUGAAUCAUCGAAUCUUUGAACGCACAUUGCGCCCCCUGGUAUUCCGGGGGGCAUGCCUGUUCGAGCGUCAUUUCAACCCUCAAGCACUGCUUGGUAUUGGGCCUCGCCGGAGACGGCGGGCCCUAAAAUCAGUGGCGGCGCCGCUGGGCCCUGAGCGUAGUAAUUCUCUCGCUACAGGUCCCCGCGUGCUCCCGCCAGAACCCCCCAAUUUUUCUAUGGUUGACCUCGGAUCAGGUAGGGAUACCCGCUGAACUUA
RNAcentral lists this small RNA (519 nucleotides) under Cenangium acuum. RNAcentral describes it as "eukaryotic LSU rRNA". The stretch from base 180 to 333 matches the Rfam family "5.8S ribosomal RNA". Lineage: Eukaryota; Fungi; Ascomycota; Leotiomycetes; Helotiales; Cenangiaceae. The record is from RNAcentral.